AUGGUGGUCUCAUGCACACACAGCUGCCUCGAGCCUGCAGUCAGAAGCCCCUACUUCAAGCUUAAAAGCUGCUCAACUGUCCGUGAUGAAGCUCCAGUGAAGCAUGAACCAAGCAACAGUGACCAGGGCAGGACUGGAAGCUGUACCUGGGACAAUGUUCAGGUUGCACAGCUCUGCAGGUGCAAAAUCUGGUCUUUUCCCUUUGUGGCAGUGCCAUGCACAAUGGACCUGAACUCAGAAUUGCCAGCAAAUACCGACUGUUCUGCUUCUGUGUGUGUAGCUGCAAGAUGGUGUUGGACUGCAUUCAAGCCCCAUGGGACUGUGGUAAUUCCCUUAGAGGAGGACAUCAGGUAAACCACAGUUGUUGUGGGUGGGAUACUGAACACCUAAUGAAUGAUAGAAGUUUCAGGAGGCUUUAAAGCCAGAAUAAGAUUUGGUGA
This 440-nucleotide long non-coding RNA is filed under the name Cyanistes caeruleus (blue tit). RNAcentral describes it as "lncRNA (ENSCCEG00000023561.1)". Lineage: Eukaryota; Metazoa; Chordata; Aves; Passeriformes; Paridae. The record is from RNAcentral.